AACGAACGCUGGCGGCAUGGCUAAGACAUGCAAGUCGAACGAUGCGUUGUAGCAAUAUGGCGCAUAGUGGCGAACGGGUGAGUACAAAAUAGGUAACGUACCCUUGGCACAGGGAUAGCGCCGGGAGCUUGCUCCCUUUGCGAAAGUGGCAUUAAUACCUGGUGACGUCUUCGGGUGGCAUCAUCUGAAGACCAUAGGCGGGGACCUUCGGGCCUGCCGGCCNGGGAGCGACCUAUUUCCUAUCAGCUAGUUGGCGGGGUAACGGCCCACCAAGGCUUCGACGGGUAGCCGGACUGAGAGGUUGUACGGCCACAUCGGGACUGAGACACUGCCCGGACAUCUACGGAUGGCUGCAGUAACGAAUAUUCCGCAAUGGGCGAAAGCCUGACGGAGCAAUGCCGCGUGGAGGACGAAUUCCUUCGGGAUGUAAAC
Molecule: ribosomal RNA, 432 nt
Filed under: uncultured bacterium
Lineage: Bacteria
Description: bacterial SSU rRNA
Rfam family: Bacterial small subunit ribosomal RNA
Source: RNAcentral